CUCGUGCAUCUGGAGUAUAAGGAGGACAACACGUGCCUGUUGGAGGCGACUCGAGCAACGCAGGCCAGCAGCGAACUAGAUCUGACAUAGAAGACCACGUUCAUCAGAUUCGAAAGUGAUCUUCUUCCAAUGGCUCUAAUGGUAAUUAAUAACCUCUUUUUGUGCUUCACCUUGUUCUUAUAUAUGAUGUACAGAGAAUGUAGUUGUGUCAAGUUUGCUGACAUCCCCGUGCUGCAACUGAUUUGGUAUAUUUGGUUAAUCGUAACCAGCAAAGAGGAGUCGUCACAUACGUGCCUUCUAUUAUUUAUGUGGUUGUAUGAAGUGUUCCUUCAACUAAUCAAGCAACCUGACAUUAGUACUUUGUUUAGUUAAUAUCACUCUCAUCAGAGAGUAUGAUAUCAUUUAGCUAGCCUCUUUUCUUUGCGGGAUAGUGUAAAGGUUAGAAAUGGGUAACGAAAAGAGUGUUCUCAUUUUACUGCCCCUGGAUUUAGGGAAUAUAUAUGCGUAUAUAUUGAUGCAUCGUUGCCAUGUCUGGCUCUUCAGGUGUGUGC
Triticum aestivum (bread wheat) is the source of this 551-nucleotide long non-coding RNA. RefSeq lists it as uncharacterized. The record is from RefSeq and is a predicted model, not a curated record. The transcript has 3 exons. Lineage: Eukaryota; Viridiplantae; Streptophyta; Magnoliopsida; Poales; Poaceae.